GUAGGAUAAGAUUAUGAAUCACCCAUAGUCGCUUUGCCCUGUUGCUUCUUCUGAAUUAUCCAUCUCCAAUCAAAACAACUUCUUACAUUGAUGCAUGGAGAAAUACGGUUCAUCACAAUUAUGGCACAACCCCUUUUGCUCUUCGCUCAGCCAUCUUUGGAUGACUCAAUCUUUUAAUAAAGGGAGACAAGAUAAUUUCUAAACUGGAAUUCUAUAAUAUGCUAGUAGCCUUGGUUACAGGCAGAAU
This 247-nucleotide unclassified non-coding RNA is filed under the name Hevea brasiliensis (rubber tree). Lineage: Eukaryota; Viridiplantae; Streptophyta; Magnoliopsida; Malpighiales; Euphorbiaceae. The record is from RNAcentral.